GACGAACGCUGGCGGCGUGCUUAACACAUGCAAGUCGAACGGAAAGGCCCCUUUGGGGGUACUCGAGUGGCGAACGGGUGAGUAACACGUGAGUAACCUGCCCUUGACUUCGGGAUAACUUCAGGAAACUGUGGCUAAUACCGGAUAGGAAUCCUUGCUGCAUGGUGGGGGUUGGAAAGCUUCGGCGGUUUUGGAUGGACUCGCGGCUUAUCAGCUUGUUGGUGGGGUAGUGGCUUACCAAGGCUUUGACGGGUAGCCGGCCUGAGAGGGCGACCGGCCACAUUGGGACUGAGAUACGGCCCAGACUCCUACGGGAGGCAGCAGUGGGGAAUAUUGCACAAUGGGCGGAAGCCUGAUGCAGCAACGCCGCGUGCGGGAUGACGGCCUUCGGGUUGUAAACCGCUUUCAGCAGGGGCGAAGCUUGUGGUGACGGUACCUGCAGAAGAAGCACCGGCUAACUACGUG
This 465-nucleotide ribosomal RNA is filed under the name uncultured bacterium. Its description in RNAcentral is "partial 16S ribosomal RNA". It matches the Rfam family "Bacterial small subunit ribosomal RNA", at positions 28 to 507 of the family's 1533-position model. The record is from RNAcentral.